GCUCGUAGUUGGAUUCCUGACCUGGGGUAGCCGGUCCGCCUUGCAAAAGGUGCGCACUGAGCGGCCUCGGUCAUCCUUGAGAAGAGCGGUCCUGGCAUUCAGUUGUCGGGGUCGGGAUUCUCGACGUUUACUGUGAAAAAAUCAGAGUGUUCAACGCAGGCUUACGCCUUGAAUACAUUAGCAUGGAAUAAUGAGAUAGGACCUUGGCGGUCUAUUUUGUUGGUUUGCACGCCGAGGUAAUGAUUAAAAGGGACGGUUGGGGUUCUUCGUAUUCAAUUGUCAGAGGUGAAAUUCUUGGAUUUAUGGAAGACGAACUGCUGCGAAAGCGUCGAACAAGGACGUUCUCAUUAAUCAAGAACGAAAGUUAGGGGAUCGAAGAUGAUUAGAUACCAUCGUAGUCUUAACCAUAAACUAUGCCGAUUCAGGAUUGGCGGUCGUUUGUUCUCGACUCCGUCAGCACUGUAUGAGAAAUCAAAAUCUUUGGGUUCCGGGGGGAGUAUGGUCGCAAGGCUGAAACUUAAAGAAAUUGACGGAAGGGCACCACCAGGAGUGGAGCCUGCGGCUUAAUUUGACUCAACACGGGGAAACUUACCAGGUCCAGACAUAGUAAGGAUUGACAGAUUGAGAGCUC
Molecule: ribosomal RNA, 631 nt
Filed under: Pelagomonas calceolata
Lineage: Eukaryota; Pelagophyceae; Pelagomonadales; Pelagomonadaceae
Description: SSU rRNA
Rfam family: Eukaryotic small subunit ribosomal RNA
Source: RNAcentral